UGGGGAAUUUUGCACAAUGGGGGAAACCCUGAUGCAGCGACGCCGCGUGAUUUAGAAGGCCUUCGGGUUGUAAAAAUCUUUUCUAUGGGAAGAAAAUGACAGUACCAUAGGAAUAAGGACCGGCUAAUUACGUGCCAGCAGCCGCGGUAAUACGUAAGGUCCGAGCGUUUUCCGGAAUCAUUGGGCGUAAAGGGUACGUAGGCGGGUAAGCAAGUUAGAAGUGAAAUCCUAUAGCUCAACUAUAGUAAGCUUUUAAAACUGCUCAUCUUGAGGUAUGGAAGGGAAAGUGGAAUUCCUAGUGUAGCGGUGAAAUGCGCAGAUAUUAGGAGGAAUACCGGUGGCGAAGGCGACUUUCUGGCCAUAACCUGACGCUGAGGUACGAAAGCGUGGGUAGCAAACAGG
This 402-nucleotide ribosomal RNA is filed under the name bacterium. RNAcentral's name for it is "partial 16S ribosomal RNA". It matches the Rfam family "Bacterial small subunit ribosomal RNA", at positions 355 to 776 of the family's 1533-position model. The record is from RNAcentral.